This 258-nucleotide ribosomal RNA is filed under the name Escherichia coli 1-176-05_S4_C3. RNAcentral describes it as "partial 23S ribosomal RNA". It matches the Rfam family "Bacterial large subunit ribosomal RNA", at positions 1 to 261 of the family's 2925-position model. Lineage: Bacteria; Pseudomonadati; Pseudomonadota; Gammaproteobacteria; Enterobacterales; Enterobacteriaceae. The record is from RNAcentral.
UUAAGCGACUAAGCGUACACGGUGGAUGCCCUGGCAGUCAGAGGCGAUGAAGGACGUGCUAAUCUGCGAUAAGCGUCGGUAAGGUGAUAUGAACCGUUAUAACCGGCGAUUUCCGAAUGGGGAAACCCAGUGUGUUUCGACACACUAUCAUUAACUGAAUCCAUAGGUUAAUGAGGCGAACCGGGGGAACUGAAACAUCUAAGUACCCCGAGGAAAAGAAAUCAACCGAGAUUCCCCCAGUAGCGGCGAGCGAACGGG